Misgurnus anguillicaudatus (oriental weatherfish) is the source of this 981-nucleotide non-coding RNA. The record is from RefSeq and is a predicted model, not a curated record. Lineage: Eukaryota; Metazoa; Chordata; Actinopteri; Cypriniformes; Cobitidae.
UGUUUUAGAAGUUUGAAUUCACAAACGGAUGUCAGCGUCUGCUCAACUGUGGAGCAUAUGCGGGAAAUAUAAUCACGAAAGGCAAGAAAUAAUGGCACAGCUACAGAGUAUUGAGCAAAUAGAUGUAAAUGUUAAAAAUAUUUUAUAUUUAGCGGAAAAGGGACAAGGAGCAAGUUAUUUUUUUGACUAUCUAAAAGAAACUGGACUGGAUAAGAGAAUUUAGGAGGAGACAAAUAUGAACAGAAGAUGGCAGUAGUGCAACAAACCGGAUGCAAGCUGCCGCUAAACACCAAAGAAGAAGAAGAUGCGUGUCCUCAACGGUUUGCGCGGGUAACUUAUCUUCGAUUCACUGCUUUAGUGCUUUGGUGAGCCAUCCUCGGAUAUCAUGGAGCUGCAUUUGCAUUUUGGAAUAAAGAAUAUGUUUUCUCCUGCGUUUCGAACGAAGGGUGGGAGCGUCACCGGUGCGACAUCUCCCGGGUUUCUCCAUGUACCACGUGUGAUGGUGCUUUUCUCGUGGACGUUUCUCUGGACAGAGUGAGAGAGAAGACAUUGCCCAGCCCCGUUGAUCCACUGAUGAUGUUGGUCUGUUUACAGGUUAUGUGGAAAAGCCUGUGCUUGGUGGAGAUCUACUGCAGAUGACCACAGCAUCCCAGUUCCCAAGAGGGGACUGUUUUAGUCAUUUUCUACUGGGCAAACUGAAUUACUCCAGAUUAUAAAAAACCUGUGCUUGUGGAUCUACAUCGGAUGACCAUGGCAACCCAGGUGUGGAAAUAUUAGACUGUUUUUAAUCUGAAAUCUGUGUAAUCUAAGAUGGACAAUUCUUCUGACACCAUAUGAAUGCAUACUGUCGUCUGGCAGAAGCUAGAUCAUUUAGAUUAUAAAGUUAUAUGUUUUUACACAUGCAUAUAUUUGCUUCAGAAGGCCUUUAUUAAAGGAUUAGUUCACCUCAAAAUGAACAUUUCCUGAUCAUUAAAGGAAUAG